AACUCCGAUGUUUUGGGGUGUUGUGCAGGAGAAGAAAUACAGGCAAUACCCUGAAUUCUUUCAUAGGAAAAAAAAAUUGCCUGGGCUCCAGCAUCAGCAAACCACUGAUGAGGCUUCAGCAUCAGCAUGAAGUGUAUUUCUACACACCUUUGUAAGGACUUGAGUAACUCGUAUUGAAACAUCUACUGUACAGAGCAGCUCUGAGCAGAGAAGGGAACUGCUGCCCCCAGAACACAUCUUUGGUUUGUUUUAUACAUCCUACAAUUACGUGCCUGGAAAAUAAAACCCAUUCCUGGCCGCUGUGGGAAAGCUGUGCCAGAGCCAAAGGUCCACUCCUCAACACAAGUUCAGCAGAACUUCUGGUUCUGCUCUGCUGCCAGAAGCCCUGCUCCACACAGCGCUGCUCACCUUCUGCCUCCGCAUCUGAGGGACCCGGUGGGCUUUGCUCCUUGCAACCUUAGACAUGUCAUGUCUUUUUUUGUGUAUGGCAUAAUGUCAUCGUUUGUAUAGAGCUGUAUGUAAGGGAACAUGCUGUUGUGUUGAAGCAUGUUUAUUUAUUCUAGUCCAAAUUCCUUUUGGAAUUGUGUAUAUGCUGUUUCCUCUGCUCUUCGUAUUUCUGUCCAGCAGAACAUUAAAAAGAAGGGGGAUCUAAACCCCUUUUAAAUACUAGUAUUUAAAUGUCAUCAUGGUGAGACCAUAUGAUUUCUAUUCAUCCACUCCUUUUCCAAAAUGUUGAAGAAAACCUCAUAGUCACACACGUAUAAUUAUUGCGUAGAGGUAUCAUCAUACAUCCAGAGUAACUGUAAUAAGGUCCUGUACAUCAAAUGGAUGAUUUUUUUCUAAUGUUUUUAUUACUAGAUAUGUUUCCUAACUAAGAAUUUUUCCUUGUCCCACACGUAUAAUUAUUGUGUAGAGGUAUCAUCGUACAUCCAGAGUAACUGUAAUAAGGUCCUGUACAUCAAAUGGAUUAUUUUUUUCUAAUGUUUUUAUUACUAGAUAUGUUUCCUAACUAAGAAUUUUUCCCCUGUUGCAGAGUUUUGCUUGUUAAAAAAUAAAUAUCUGGAUACACUUGCCUGGUGUCUGUUU
Molecule: long non-coding RNA, 1086 nt
Filed under: Calidris pugnax (ruff)
Lineage: Eukaryota; Metazoa; Chordata; Aves; Charadriiformes; Scolopacidae
Description: lncRNA (ENSCPUG00000003343.1)
Source: RNAcentral